Molecule: long non-coding RNA, 254 nt
Organism: Syngnathus acus (greater pipefish)
Lineage: Eukaryota; Metazoa; Chordata; Actinopteri; Syngnathiformes; Syngnathidae
Exons: 2
Source: RefSeq, a predicted model, not a curated record
UGAGUUGAGAUUGGAGAUUAACAAACUGGCUCUGAGUCAAUACAAGCUCGAUCUGCUUGGUUUCACUUCCAUCUGGGGAAAAGGGUCACACAAAAACGGACAGGGAACAUUCUGGCACGUUGGACCGACCUGUACUGGGGACGUGAAGGAGUCGAAGUGCAGCGGAAGCGGUGAUAUCAAAACACAGUGGAAGAGAUUGAUUCUCAGCCGGCAACAAAAAGCGGAUUUGAGGUUCAACAACUGUAAAAAAAAAA